This is a non-coding RNA of Acanthosepion pharaonis, 97 nucleotides long. NCBI's taxonomy places the organism in Eukaryota, Metazoa, Mollusca, Cephalopoda, Sepiida, Sepiidae. The record is from the annotation of a GenBank genome assembly.
AAUGAAACACUGGUUCUCAUCUGAUCGUCAGUUAAGCAUUAUUGAACCUAGUCAGUAUCUAGAUGGGUGACCACUUAGGAAUACCAGGUGCUGUAAG